Molecule: ribosomal RNA, 460 nt
Filed under: uncultured bacterium
Lineage: Bacteria
Description: partial 16S ribosomal RNA
Rfam family: Bacterial small subunit ribosomal RNA
Source: RNAcentral
CUACGGGGUGCAGCAGUGGGGAAUCUUGCGCAAUGGAGGAAACUCUGACGCAGCGACGCCGCGUGGGUGAAGAAGGCCUUCGGGUUGUAAAGCCCUUUCGGACAGGAAGAAGGGAUAGGUGAAGAGCCUUAUUCUGAUGGUACUGUAAGAAGAAGCACCGGCAAACUUCGUGCCAGCAGCCGCGGUAAUACGAAGGGUGCGAGCGUUGUGCGGAAUUACUGGGCGUAAAGGGUUCGUAGGCUGGUAGAUAAGUUGGAUGUGAAACCCCUGGGCUCAACCUGGGACGUGCAUCCAAGACUGUUUAUCUUGAGUGUUGUAGAGGGUGGUGGAAUUGCUGGUGUAGGAGUGACAUCCGUAGAGAUCAGCAGGAACACCGGAGGCGAAGGCGACCACCUGGGCAACAACUGACGCUGAGGAACGAAAGCGUGGGGAGCAAACAGGAUUAGAUACCCCAGUAGUC